GAUUUAGACCUGGAAGUGCUUCCGGGGCGGAGGACUUGGGGGGUGGCAGAGGAGGGCGUGGGUGCGUCUGGUAUGGGAUGCCAUGCAAAGGAGGGGGCCCUCCUAAAUAGAUCCGUGGGUGGUUCCUUUGACUCUUCUAUCAUUUUGCCCUUUGCUUUGCCGAAGAGAGAGUCCCCAUGGUCUCUGCUCAAAUUCUGGAAACUUUCUCUUUGGGUGGGCUUAAUCACCUACUACUUUAUUAUAGAACUACCCAGAGCCUUUCCUGAUACUGGGCACAAACGUGGGGAAUAUGUCAGAAAACAGGAAGCCGCUGCUGGGCUUCGUGGGCAAACUCCCCAGUGGGACUGCACUUGGGAACUCAGGCAAGACUCACUGCCCUUUGUGCAUGGGGCUUUUCAAAGCCCCCAGGCUCUUGCCUUGUUUGCACACAGUUUGCACCACGUGUCUGGAGCAGCUGGAACCCUACUCGGUAGUGGACAUCCGAGGGGGCGACUCUGACACAAGCUCUGAGGGGUCAAUAUUCCAGGAACUCAAGCCACCCAGUCUGCAGCCCCAGAUCGGCAUCCUCUGUCCGGUAUGUGACACUCAGGUGGACCUGCCCAUGGGUGGAGUGAAGGCUUUAACCAUAGACCACCUGGCCAUGAAUGACGUGAUGCUGGAGAGUCUUCGUGGGGAAGGCCAGGGCCUGGUGUGUGACCUGUGCAGCGACAGGGAAGUGGAGAAGAGAUGUCAGACCUGCAGAGCCAACCUCUGCCACUUCUGCUGCCAGGCUCAUAGGCGGCAGAAGAAAACAACUUACCACACGGUGGUGGACCUAAAAGACUUGAAAGGCUACAGCAGGAUCGGGAAGCCCAUUCUGUGUCCCGUGCACCCUGCAGAGGAGCUGAGACUGUUCUGUGAGCUCUGUGACCGGCCCGUGUGCCGGGACUGCGUGGUGGGCGAGCACCGGGAGCACCCCUACGACUUCGCCAGCAACGUUAUCCACAAGCACGGGGACUCCGUGCGGGAGCUUCUCAGAGGCACCCAGCCCCACGUGGAGGCCCUGGAGGAAGCCCUGGCACAGAUCACAGAGAUGAACAGUGCCCUCCAGAAGCGAGUGGAGGCUGUGGCAGCUGACGUGCGAACGUUCUCCGAGGGUUACGUCAAGGCCAUUGAGGAGCACCGGGACAGGCUGCUGAAGCAGCUGGAAGACAUCCGGGUCCAGAAGGAAAACUCCCUGCAGCUGCAGAAGGCACAGCUCGAGCAGCUGCUGGCGGACAUGCGGACGGGCGUGGAGUUCACUGAGCACCUGCUGACCAGUGGCUCGGACUUGGAGAUCCUCAUCACCAAGGGGGUGGUAGUGGAACGGCUCACGAAGCUGAACAAAGUCGAAUAUAGUGCCCAUCCUGGAGUGAACGAUAAGAUACGCUUCUCUCCUCAGCAGAGAGCAGGCCGGUGCCGUGGCUAUGAAGUUUAUGGGACCAUCAAUACGAAAGAGGUCGAUCCAGCUAAAUGUGUCCUUCAAGGAGAAGAUCUCCACAGAGCCCGGGAGAAACAGACAGCCUCUUUCACCCUGCUUUGUAAGGAUGCAGCAGGAGAGAGCAUGGGCAGGGGAGGAGACAGCGUGCACGUCGCUGUAGUCCCCAAAGAUAAGAAAGACAGUCCGGUCAGAACGCUGGUACAAGAUAACAAGGACGGGACGUACUAUGUCUCCUAUACUCCCAAGGAGCCUGGCGUCUAUACCGUGUUGGUCCGCGUCAAAGAGCAGCAUGUGCAGGGCUCACAGAUAGGAGCUACGUCGGAGUCGUAAAUCCAAAGGUGUUCACUAUAUUCUCAUCCUUUUCUGGGAAGAUUCCCCUCCAUGCUCUCUAACCCACAUCUCAUCUUCCCAGAAGACACUGAUGGCCCCAUGACCCUCAUGAAGUGUUAGCUACUUGCUUUUCCUCACUCCUUCCAACUGCUCCAACCAGAGCUCAGGUUUCUGCUCCUGUGUCAAACAUCGCAUCUGAGCAGUCUCUAGCUACCUUGGAUAAGAUAGCAUCUCCCCACCCCAGGACUCUGUAUCACCCUUAUUCGGCGUCCUCACCACCUCACACACAUACUCUACUUGUUUAAUGUCUGUUCUCUCAUAUGACACUCGGCUCUGUGAAGACAGGGACUUGACAUCAUCGAUUAUAUUGUCCCCAUGUAGGACAGUUCCUGGCACACAGAAGAGGCUUAAUCAUUUUGUUGAAUAAAGGUAUCAUUUGGUGCACGUU
Herpailurus yagouaroundi (jaguarundi) is the source of this 2237-nucleotide RNA transcript. It is a transcript of the gene named tripartite motif containing 45, with no coding region annotated. Lineage: Eukaryota; Metazoa; Chordata; Mammalia; Carnivora; Felidae. The transcript is spliced from 6 exons. The record is from RefSeq and is a predicted model, not a curated record.